AAAUUACGAACAAUUUGCAAAAGAAGAUGGUUGUCUAUAGAAGUGGAGCUAGUGGCCUUUAGCCUUUAGGAUUACAUGGUAUCAAUAUACAUAUCGCUCCUUAAUAAUCUCAAUUUUUGUCCUUCGAGAAGUUGGAUUAUAAGAUAUUCCAUGGAAAAAUCCAAUAAAUAAGGUUAUAUCUUGUUGUGCUCAAGUUUCUACUAUUGGUGAUCUCUGGUUUUACUAAAGGUUGGCUUAACUCUUGUAAUGAAACAAGAGGUCAUAGAUUUAAAUUCAAAGGGAUGCAUUUUCUUUCAAGGUAAAUGAAGGUUCCCAUCUAUUAUACUAUUAUACUAUAUGGUGUAAUAAUGUUUCUGCAUUUUAAUAGAGUGCGGGAAUCCUCAUUCUCUCUCUCUCUUUCUUUAUGUAUAUAUACACACACACACAAUUAUUUUCUAUUGUGGGCACCCUCAUUUUUUUUCCUCAUACGGACAUGGUUUUAAGUUGUGUGAUUUAAGAGAGUUAAUUUUUAAUUAUAUUAAAUCGUACGAUUGU
RNAcentral lists this long non-coding RNA (534 nucleotides) under Citrus sinensis (sweet orange). RNAcentral describes it as "long non-coding RNA (CSIN_LNC003705)". The record is from RNAcentral. Lineage: Eukaryota; Viridiplantae; Streptophyta; Magnoliopsida; Sapindales; Rutaceae.